Molecule: transfer RNA, 59 nt
Filed under: Ictidomys tridecemlineatus (thirteen-lined ground squirrel)
Lineage: Eukaryota; Metazoa; Chordata; Mammalia; Rodentia; Sciuridae
Description: Spermophilus tridecemlineatus (thirteen-lined ground squirrel) tRNA
Rfam family: tRNA
About the family: Transfer RNA (tRNA) molecules are approximately 80 nucleotides in length. Their secondary structure includes four short double-helical elements and three loops (D, anti-codon, and T loops). Further hydrogen bonds mediate the characteristic L-shaped molecular structure. tRNAs have two regions of fundamental functional importance: the anti-codon, which is responsible for specific mRNA codon recognition, and the 3' end, to which the tRNAs corresponding amino acid is attached (by aminoacyl-tRNA synthetases). tRNAs cope with the degeneracy of the genetic code in two manners: having more than one tRNA (with a specific anti-codon) for a particular amino acid; and 'wobble' base-pairing, i.e. permitting non-standard base-pairing at the 3rd anti-codon position.
Source: Rfam by way of RNAcentral
GUGGCUCAAUGGCAGAGCACUUGCCUGGCAUGUGUGAGGCCCUGGGUUCGAUUCUCAGC